GUUGCCAACGCUACGGGCGGGAACGUCUCGGCGGACUGCCGGCGACAAGCCGGAGGAAGGUGGGGAGUGACGUCAAGUCAUCAUGGCCCUUAUGUCCAGGGCGACACACGUGCUACAAUGGGCGGCACAACGGGAAGCGAAGGGGAGACCUGGAGCGGAUCCUCAUAAAGCCGUUCCCAGUUCGGAUUGAAGUCUGCAACUCGACUUCAUGAAGCUGGAAUCGCUAGUAAUCGUGGAUCAGCCAAGCCGCGGUGAAUACGUUCCCGGGCCUU
This 272-nucleotide ribosomal RNA is filed under the name uncultured Aminiphilus sp. Its description in RNAcentral is "partial 16S ribosomal RNA". It matches the Rfam family "Bacterial small subunit ribosomal RNA", at positions 1114 to 1382 of the family's 1533-position model. The record is from RNAcentral. Lineage: Bacteria; Thermotogati; Synergistota; Synergistia; Synergistales; Aminiphilaceae.